This 916-nucleotide long non-coding RNA is filed under the name Cyanistes caeruleus (blue tit). Its description in RNAcentral is "lncRNA (ENSCCEG00000005048.1)". The record is from RNAcentral. Lineage: Eukaryota; Metazoa; Chordata; Aves; Passeriformes; Paridae.
AUGGCUGCACAGCAAGGCAAUAGCAUUUCAACCCAAAAGUGCAUCUUUGGAACACCUGAGUUGAAAAGCCUGUGCUUGGCAUCUGCCUAUAAACAAGACUGCUUCUAUUUCUUUCACAAGUCUAUGUGUUUGCAGAAGGACUUUUGUUUUUCUGUGUCUGUGUGACUGAAGGAGAAAAGGGCAACUGGAGUAAAAGUGUUCGCUGGGACUGGUUGAAGUGCACACAGGUGAUGGUUCUGUACUGGGGCCUGCAUGGCCAGGAGUUUUGGGGUUGGCUGUGGAGCUGGACACAUAUGUGGGAGAUGUCAUCUAUAAAACCUUAGACUGGCUUUUGCAUGUGGAAUUGUUUGUUGUUGUUGUUUAGAAGUUGUUCAUUGUAGAAUUGCACUGGCUGGUUUUUUGUGUGUUCCAAUUGAAUGUUUGAUUGUCAUAAGCAUUAUCUCUAUUUUUGUAGUCCCUUACUCAUUUGUUUGUUGCUAUUGAUGCAUUGUUUGUAAGUUUAAUAAUCCCUUUUAAGUUUGUUACUUUCGAGGUUUUCAAAGCAAAUCCCCUCACCAGCAGCAUCUUACAAAGAAUUUUUAACCUGCCCCAGAAGACUUGUAACUUGACACCACAGCAAUGGUGCAUACUAAUGAGGAACUUUCCCUCCAAAACCUCAGUUACCCCAAGGACAGCAAACUGUUGGAGGAGAAGAUGUUCCCAGCACCAAUCAACAAUAACUAUAGGGGUGGGACUGCCAGCAACAAGCUGAGGGGACAGAGAUUAUAAAAGGAGCUGUGAAGUUUGAAGAACUGCCCUUUAACUGUGGAUUAGCAGCUGAGGACCCGACACUGCAGACUUUGGUCUACAUCUCUUUUAGAGACUUUUUUAUAUAAAUUUGAGUGCAGAUUAGCUGCAUUCACUGCAGUGCCACUGA